Molecule: transfer RNA, 74 nt
Filed under: Achromatium sp. WMS3
Lineage: Bacteria; Pseudomonadati; Pseudomonadota; Gammaproteobacteria; Thiotrichales; Thiotrichaceae
Description: tRNA-Gly
Rfam family: tRNA
About the family: Transfer RNA (tRNA) molecules are approximately 80 nucleotides in length. Their secondary structure includes four short double-helical elements and three loops (D, anti-codon, and T loops).
Source: RNAcentral
UCGGGUGUAGUUCAAUGGCAGAACCUCAGCCUUCCAAGCUGAUGAUGUGGGUUCGAUCCCCAUCACCCGCUCCA